UGGGGAAUAUUGGACAAUGGGCGGAAGCCUGAUCCAGCAACGCCGCGUGAGGGAUGACGGCCUUCGGGUUGUAAACCUCUUUCACCGAUGACGAAGCGUGAGUGACGGUAGUCGGAGAAGAAGCACCGGCCAACUACGUGCCAGCAGCCGCGGUAAUACGUAGGGUGCGAGCGUUGUCCGGAAUUAUUGGGCGUAAAGGGCUCGUAGGCGGUUUGUCGCGUCGGGAGUGAAAACCCAGGGCUUAACCCCGGGCCUGAAUCG
RNAcentral lists this ribosomal RNA (261 nucleotides) under uncultured bacterium. Its description in RNAcentral is "partial 16S ribosomal RNA". It matches the Rfam family "Bacterial small subunit ribosomal RNA", at positions 355 to 629 of the family's 1533-position model. The record is from RNAcentral.